Molecule: ribosomal RNA, 208 nt
Filed under: uncultured bacterium
Lineage: Bacteria
Description: partial 16S ribosomal RNA
Rfam family: Bacterial small subunit ribosomal RNA
Source: RNAcentral
AUUGAACGCUGGCGGCAGGCUUAACACAUGCAAGUCGAGCGGUAACAGGGGUAGCUUGCUACCCGCUGACGAGCGGCGGACGGGUGAGUAAUGCAUAGGAAACUGCCCAGUAGUGGGGGAUAGCCCGGGGAAACCCGGAUUAAUACCGCAUACGUCCUUCGGAGAAGACGAGGGAGUCGUUCGGACCGUUGCGCUAUUGGAUGUGCCU